CUUAUUGGAUGGAGAGCACAUGUCCAUGCCUCUGAACUGCAGGGCCUCACAGACGCUUGGAGAGCACUUUUUCCUGCUUGCAUUCAUCUAUACCUGCACCUCCACUGUUGACGUUGUGGCUGAAUUGUCAGCUGUCACACUUUUCAAAAUCCACAAUAGGUAUCUGGCAAGGAAGAACAUCAUGGAGGAAUGGAGGGGUGGAGGAGAGCUGUUCACCUCAUGAGAGCUGGAGAGCAGAGAAACAGAAAAAGAGCCAAAGAGUGAUGGAGCCAGGUAUUUCUUCAAUUUCAAGAAUUUAGAAGUGACUUGGCUGGAAGUUUCCGCAUUGGAGACUCUCACAAAGUUGCAUUCAGAUGGUGGUUGGUUCCAAAAACAUUUCAAGGCUUCUUCACUCACUUGUCUGAUGGCUGGGUUGGGGAAGAGGACCAAAGUCACUUCAUGAAAUGAGAUAGACUGUCACAGUCAUCAUUGAAAAAGAGGUACACAGUGUGGUGUACUUUUCAUUUAUUCCAUUCUUGUUUUUUGGGUAUCAGCAUGAUUUUAUAGUUUCAUUUGUAUAGGUUUUGCACAUUUCAUGUUAAAAUUAUUCAAAAUGUUAUAAUUGUUGUUUUGUUUGCAAUUGUAUUAUUUUCCUUUUUAUUUCUAUCUUAUAUUUGUUACUAUAAUAGACAGCU
Molecule: long non-coding RNA, 674 nt
Organism: Heterocephalus glaber (naked mole-rat)
Lineage: Eukaryota; Metazoa; Chordata; Mammalia; Rodentia; Bathyergidae
Source: Ensembl